RNAcentral lists this ribosomal RNA (955 nucleotides) under Lactobacillus sp. RNAcentral's name for it is "bacterial SSU rRNA". It matches the Rfam family "Bacterial small subunit ribosomal RNA", at positions 44 to 987 of the family's 1533-position model. Lineage: Bacteria; Bacillati; Bacillota; Bacilli; Lactobacillales; Lactobacillaceae. The record is from RNAcentral.
GAGCUUCCGUUGAAUGACGUGCUUGCACUGAUUUUAACAUUGAAGCGAGUGGCGAACUGGUGAGUAACACGUGGGAAAUCUGCCCAGAAGCAGGGGAUAACACUUGGAAACAGGUGCUAAUACCGUAUAACAACAAGAACCGCAUGGUUCUUGUUUGAAAGGUGGCUUCGGCUAUCACUUCUGGAUGAUCCCGCGGCGUAUUAGUUAGUUGGUGAGGUAAAGGCCCACCAAGACAAUGAUACGUAGCCGACCUGAGAGGGUAAUCGGCCACAUUGGGACUGAGACACGGCCCAAACUCCUACGGGAGGCAGCAGUAGGGAAUCUUCCACAAUGGACGAAAGUCUGAUGGAGCAAUGCCGCGUGAGUGAAGAAGGGUUUCGGCUCGUAAAACUCUGUUGUUAAAGAAGAACACUUCUGAGAGUAACUGUUCAGAAGUUGACGGUAUUUAACCAGAAAGCCACGGCUAACUACGUGCCAGCAGCCGCGGUAAUACGUAGGUGGCGAGCGUUGUCCGGAUUUAUUGGGCGUAAAGCGAGCGCAGGCGGUUUCUUAAGUCUGAUGUGAAAGCCUUCGGCUCAACCGAAGAAGUGCAUCGGAAACUGGGAAACUUGAGUGCAGAAGAGGACAGUGGAACUCCAUGUGUAGCGGUGAAAUGCGUAGAUAUAUGGAAGAACACCAGUGGCGAAGGCGGCUGUCUGGUCUGUAACUGACGCUGAGGCUCGAAAGCAUGGGUAGCAAACAGGAUUAGAUACCCUGGUAGUCCAUGCCGUAAACGAUGAGUGCUAGGUGUUGGAGGGUUUCCGCCCUUCAGUGCCGCAGCUAACGCAUUAAGCACUCCGCCUGGGGAGUACGACCGCAAGGUUGAAACUCAAAGGAAUUGACGGGGGCCCGCACAAGCGGUGGAGCAUGUGGUUUAAUUCGAAGCAACGCGAAGAACCUUACCAGGUCUUGACAU